This 450-nucleotide ribosomal RNA is filed under the name uncultured bacterium. Its description in RNAcentral is "partial 16S ribosomal RNA". It matches the Rfam family "Bacterial small subunit ribosomal RNA", at positions 354 to 796 of the family's 1533-position model. The record is from RNAcentral.
GUGGGGAAUAUUGGACAAUGGGCGAAAGCCUGAUCCAGCCAUGCCGCGUGUGUGAAGAAGGUCUUCGGAUUGUAAAGCACUUUAAGUUGGGAGGAAGGGUAGUAACCUAAUACGUUGCUACUUUGACGUUACCGACAGAAUAAGCACCGGCUAACUUCGUGCCAGCAGCCGCGGUAAUACGAAGGGUGCAAGCGUUAAUCGGAAUUACUGGGCGUAAAGCGGGCGUAGGUGGUUCAGUAAGUUGGAAGUGAAAGCCCCGGGCUCAACCUGGGAACUGCCUUCAAUACUGCUGAGCUAGAGUACGGUAGAGGGUGGUGGAAUUUCCUGUGUAGCGGUGAAAUGCGUAGAUAUAGGAAGGAACACCAGUGGCGAAGGCGACCACCUGGACUGAUACUGACACUGAGGUGCGAAAGCGUGGGGAGCAAACAGGAUUAGAUACCCUUGUAGUCC